This 484-nucleotide ribosomal RNA is filed under the name uncultured bacterium. Its description in RNAcentral is "bacterial SSU rRNA". It matches the Rfam family "Bacterial small subunit ribosomal RNA", at positions 27 to 507 of the family's 1533-position model. The record is from RNAcentral.
GGAUGAACGCUAGCGGCAGGCCUAAUACAUGCAAGACGAACGGUAAGUUGAGUAGCAAUACUUAGCCAAGAGUGUCGUACGGGUGCGUAACACGUAUGCAACCUACCCUAUACAGGAGGAUAGCCUAGGGAAACCUGGAUUAACCCUUCAUAGUAUUAUUGGAUGGCAUCAUUUGAUAAUUAAAACUGAGGUGGUAUAGGAUGGGCAUGCGUCUGAUUAGUUAGUUGGCGGGGUAAUGGCCCACCAAGACGAUGAUCAGUAGGGGUUCUGAGAGGAAGAUCCCCCACACUGGCACUGAGAUACGGGCCAGACUCCUACGGGAGGCAGCAGUAGGGAAUAUUGGUCAAUGGAUGCAAGUCUGAACCAGCCAUGCCGCGUGCAGGAAGAAGGCCUUCUGGGUUGUAAACUGCUUUUGCCAGGGGAUAAAAUUUCCAUGCGUGGAAAACUGAAGGUACCUGGUGAAUAAGCCACGGCUAACUACGUG